CUUCAAAGGCGGCUUCUACACCGCUGUCUUGGAAACAAAUGGGGAAAUAGUUUGUGUUGCAGCUCUAAGGAUAUAUCCAUGACAAAAUGAUUGCUGAAAUGCCUUUCAUUGCUUCCCAUUUUGCUCAUAGAUGUAAAGGGAUGUGUAGAAAGCUUAUGAUUGCUAUUGAAUCUGUGCUUUGCUACCUCAAUAUAGAGAAACUAAUCAUUCCAUAUGCAUCAGAAAAG
This is a long non-coding RNA of Ipomoea nil (Japanese morning glory), 227 nucleotides long. RefSeq lists it as uncharacterized. The record is from RefSeq and is a predicted model, not a curated record. The transcript has 3 exons. NCBI's taxonomy places the organism in Eukaryota, Viridiplantae, Streptophyta, Magnoliopsida, Solanales, Convolvulaceae.